This is a non-coding RNA of Megalobrama amblycephala (Wuchang bream), 861 nucleotides long. The record is from the annotation of a RefSeq genome assembly. NCBI's taxonomy places the organism in Eukaryota, Metazoa, Chordata, Actinopteri, Cypriniformes, Xenocyprididae.
AAGGUGCAUCUCUCUGAUAAAUAAGCAAAUAUCUUACAGAUUAUGUGGGGAUAAUGUAACAUUUGAAAUUUGUUUCAGCAUAAAAGGCACAUGUCAAAUUUCUUUAAAAUGGUUUCUAAGGUAACUCCAUUUCAGGAAAUGACAUCAUCACCCUAUUUUCAUACAGCACCCUAAGUUCAUACAAAAGCAGUGUGAAACCUGAAAGACAGCUUUACACCAAGGUAGACUUUUCUUUUUUUUCAUCGGAUGAAUGAUGUUUUUAUACGUUUAUAUUGUCCUCCUCUUAAAGAUGCCAGCAGCAGUUCUGGGAGUGAGUGUGGAUCAAGGUCCAAAGGCUGUGGCUAAAGCAGAGGGCAAAACCGUGAAUCUGCCCUGCAAAGCGACCGGUGUGGGCUCUUCAGAUUAUAUCCACUGGUACCAAAUAAAAGACGACAAAGCCCCGUCAAGACUGCUCUAUAUCAGUAAAGAGGGUGUUGUCACUCGUGAUAGCAACAAUCCCCAAGCAAGUGAUUUCACAGUGGACAAAACAAAGCUUUAUAAUCUAAAACUGAGUGACAGUAAGAAGAGUCACAGUGCCGUUUACUUCUGCGCUUACUGGGAGAGGGACUCAAGCGGCAGCACAGUGAGAACAUUUACUCACAUCCUGUACAUGAACUACACUGGUAAAUAAUUGAUGAAUGACAUAUUUAUAUACUUUAAUAUUUAUUUACCUGUCACUUUCUGUUUAAGUUCUCAAUUUGAAUUAAGCUGCAUAUGCAGAAUAACUGGAUGAAGGUAUUUGGAUCCGUUCAGAUCUGAACUUUAUUGUCCUGCUGUUCAUUAUGAGGUUAUUUGUACACACUGUAUUAUUGUGAUUUUGGA